Molecule: ribosomal RNA, 654 nt
Filed under: bacterium
Lineage: Bacteria
Description: bacterial SSU rRNA
Rfam family: Bacterial small subunit ribosomal RNA
Source: RNAcentral
AACGAUGAAGCCCUUCGGGGUGGAUUAGUGGCGAACGGGUGAGUAACACGUGGGCAAUCUGCCCUGUACUUUGGGAUAAGCCCUGGAAACGGGGUCUAAUACCGGAUAGGACUGCGCAUCGCAUGGUGUGUGGUGGAAAGCUCCGGCGGUACAGGAUGAGCCCGCGGCCUAUCAGCUUGUUGGUGGGGUGAUGGCCUACCAAGGCGACGACGGGUAGCCGGCCUGAGAGGGCGACCGGCCACACUGGGACUGAGACACGGCCCAGACUCCUACGGGAGGCAGCAGUGGGGAAUAUUGCACAAUGGGCGCAAGCCUGAUGCAGCGACGCCGCGUGAGGGAUGACGGCCUUCGGGUUGUAAACCUCUUUCGACAGGGACGAAGGGUGACUGACGGUACCUGUAGAAGAAGCACCGGCUAACUACGUGCCAGCAGCCGCGGUAAUACGUAGGGUGCGAGCGUUGUCCGGAAUUAUUGGGCGUAAAGAGCUCGUAGGCGGUUUGUCGCGUCGGCCGUGAAAACUGGAGGCUUAACCUUCAGCUUGCGGUCGAUACGGGCAGACUUGAGUUCGGUAGGGGAGACUGGAAUUCCUGGUGUAGCGGUGAAAUGCGCAGAUAUCAGGAGGAACACCGGUGGCGAAGGCGGGUCUCUGGGCCG